AACAGGAUUAGAUACCCUGGUAGUCCACGCUGUAAACGAUGUCGACUUGGAGGUUGUUCCCUUGAGGAGUGGCUUCCGGAGCUAACGCGUUAAGUCGACCGCCUGGGGAGUACGGCCGCAAGGUUAAAACUCAAAUGAAUUGACGGGGGCCCGCACAAGCGGUGGAGCAUGUGGUUUAAUUCGAUGCAACGCGAAGAACCUUACCUACUCUUGACAUCCAGAGAACUUAGCAGAGAUGCUUUGGUGCCUUCGGGAACUCUGAGACAGGUGCUGCAUGGCUGUCGUCAGCUCGUGUUGUGAAAUGUUGGGUUAAGUCCCGCAACGAGCGCAACCCUUAUCCUUUGUUGCCAGCGAUUCGGUCGGGAACUCAAGGGAGACUGCCAGUGAUAAACUGGAGGAAGGUGGGGAUGACGUCAAGUCAUCAUGGCCCUUACGAGUAGGGCUACACACGUGCUACAAUGGCAUAUACAAAGAGAAGCGACCUCGCGAGAGCAAGCGGACCUCAUAAAGUAUGUCGUAGUCCGGAUUGGAGUCUGCAACUCGACUCCAUGAAGUCGGAAUCGCUAGUAAUCGUGGAUCAGAAUGCCACGGUGAAUACGUUCCCGGGCCUUGUACACACCGCCCGUCACACCAUGGGAGUGGGUUGCAAAAGAAGUAGGUAGCUUAACCUUCGGGAGGGCGCUUACCACUUUGUGAUCCAUGACUGGGGUGAAGUCGUAACAAGGUAACC
RNAcentral lists this ribosomal RNA (730 nucleotides) under uncultured bacterium. Its description in RNAcentral is "bacterial SSU rRNA". It matches the Rfam family "Bacterial small subunit ribosomal RNA", at positions 771 to 1501 of the family's 1533-position model. The record is from RNAcentral.